UAUUAUUAUUAUUAUUUUUUUUUUUUUAAGGUGUGGCAAAGCCCCUUGUAUUAGAUGAAUAUAGAAAAUUACAGACUUAGAAUUGGGGUGGGCUCAAUAGAGUAUGUCGCCACACCUAUCAUUUGGAGAUACACUGGGAGAAGAAGUGGCCUUGGACAAGGAAGAGCAGGGAUAACUUUCAAUGCGAAGAAUCCGAAAACUGGGACUGAUGAAGUGAGAGUUAGGGAAUCCGCAGAAGCAAUUCUCUAUCAGAGGAGCCCAAAGGGAGUUAGGCCUCUCCCUUUUUAGUUUUUAUCCUCCUAAUCAUCCCAACGCCGGCUUUGUCCAUCACUAGAGAGCCCUUGAUAUUUCUCGGAAAAAGAGAUUUUGAUCGGUAUUUGUUGUCCGGGUAGCCCCGUUACUUGCAAGUUUUGCAAGGCCAUUUGCAAUUGAAUUGCCUUGACGGAGGGUACGUAUGAGUGAAGCGAAGCGAAGGUUCAUUGUUUCUUUGAGGUUGAGGAUGAAUCCCAAUUGGUACCAAGAGUUUUUUUGAGGUUGAGGAUGAGUCCCAAUUGGUACCAAGAGUUCCAGCAACCUGUGUAGAGAGGGAAUGAAAGGGCUUUUUGUGUAUAAACUACUCUAUCCUUGUGUAUCUUUAUUGCAUUUGAAUUUUGAACCAAAAAUAAAUAAAUUGUAUUCUUGAUA
Molecule: long non-coding RNA, 684 nt
Organism: Magnolia sinica
Lineage: Eukaryota; Viridiplantae; Streptophyta; Magnoliopsida; Magnoliales; Magnoliaceae
Exons: 2
Source: RefSeq, a predicted model, not a curated record